This 255-nucleotide ribosomal RNA is filed under the name uncultured archaeon. Its description in RNAcentral is "partial 16S ribosomal RNA". It matches the Rfam family "Archaeal small subunit ribosomal RNA", at positions 748 to 1002 of the family's 1478-position model. The record is from RNAcentral.
UAGCCGUAAACGAUACUCGCUAGGUGUCGGCCACGGUGCGACCGUUGUCGGUGCCGUAGGGAAGCCGUGAAGCGAGCCACCUGGGAAGUACGGCCGCAAGGCUGAAACUUAAAGGAAUUGGCGGGGGAGCACCACAACGGGUGGAGCUUGCGGUUUAAUUGGAUUCAACGCCGGAAAUCUUACCGGGACCGACAGCAACAUGAAGGCCAGGCUGAAGACUUUGCCGGAUUAGCUGAGAGGUGGUGCAUGGCGUAU